RNAcentral lists this long non-coding RNA (2045 nucleotides) under Homo sapiens (human). RNAcentral describes it as "HSALNT0372185". Lineage: Eukaryota; Metazoa; Chordata; Mammalia; Primates; Hominidae. The record is from RNAcentral.
CUCUGUUCCCAGCUUAGAGGACCAGAGGGAGAAGCCACCUGCUACACGCUGGAUGCUGCAGCCUGUGCCACUGUGGCUCACAUCGCUGUGGUUGGUGGCAGCAACGGAGACUGCAGCCAGCUGGAGUGCUGUGAUGACAGUGCUUAUCAAUCCUGUCCCCGCCACACCACCAACAUACACAGAAAAAAAGCAGGCAAUGAGUUGGCUCCGGGAUGACCUCGUAUGAAGACGUUUCAUUCCUUAGUCUUGGCAAUUGACAUCACAAACUUGGGUACAAGCUACAAAAUUAAGGUGAGUGGUAAUUCUGUUUCCUGACAAAACUGAAAAACAGUCAUUAGUCAGCUGGCAGCACCGUAACCCUAGUUCUUCAGAUGAUCUCCUAACAAGAGAGGCACGGAUGAUGCACUAGACAUGGCGAGGGCCCCUCAUUUAGUGCUGCUGGGAGGCAGCUGAGCCCUCUGUUGCUGAGCAGGGGGGUUCCGCCUGUUUCUAGCAUCCUCUGAUCCGUCAGUGGACGCUCUCUGCUUUGAAGGACUUGUUACCUGCUCUCGGCUGCUGGGGCCUCUCAGUUCCUACGUUGUGUGGGGCACAGUCCAUUCUUGAGACUUACACUCAGCUAGGUUAAUUCUUAAGUCUUUUCUUAUUUAUUAUCAUAACAAUUUUACAAAUUAUGGAUGGCUCAAAAGAACAAGAUCAGUGAACAGCCUUUCCUAACUCCAGGCAGAGCUCAGAGGUAGAUACUUUGUAUGUGUUAACUGCCUAAUUUGUUUUUCCUUCAUUCACUCGUCUCCCUUCUCUUACUUCUCCAUUCCCCCGUUUUGAGAAUGAAACCAAUUUUUUCCCUCCAAAGCUAAAAAAUGUUUUGUCUAUAGAAUCCCCUAAAAGUUCUCCAGAUAAUUUUUUUUUGUACUUUAAAAAAGCAAACAAGGUGGGAAGAUGGCUUGAGCCCAGGAGGACGAGGCUGCAGUGAGCUGUGAUUGCUCCACUGAGCUCUGGCCUGGGCGACAGAGAGAGACCCCGUUUCAAAACCCAAAAACCAAAAACAAAAACAAGUACUGCAGACUUAGAUCAGUAUGUAACUUAUGAACUGAUCUUAAAAGGAACAUAUCAGCGUUCACACUUUGACUCUGCACUAAGUCUCUGAUAUAAUCAGGCCAGGAUACAGAAUGACAUGGAAGUGAGGCCCCUCUGGAGCAGGCUCAGCUGCCUCCUCAGCACCCACAACCCUGAUCUGGGGCAGGGAGGGACAGGCAGUGAGAGCAGCAACCUCUUUGUGGGGCAGAGUCUUGUGGGCCUGGGAGCUGGACUGUUGCUGUGACUCUGCCCUUUUACACUCAAGGCUUGACACUUUUCUCCUAGAACUUAACACUAACAAUACAUGCACUCCCAUUUAAGGAAAUGUUUACAAACAUUAGGUCAAAUUCAGCAAAGGCCACAUCCUCACCUGAAGAAAGCAGAGACGUGCCCAGUUAUCCCUGAAUCCUUUGCUGCCUCCAGCUUUGCAGCACGCAGAAAGCCCCCAUCUCUCUGCAGGUGCCACCCUCGCUCCACCCAAACCUGAUCUUAAACCAUUCCACCUGAGAGGGUCUUAUGACCUGGUCUCAGGUCACAACCAACAAUCAAUUUCCAGCCAAAUCAAUCAAUCCGGUAAAGCAGAGUGAUCCAGAAAACAACAGCCAAGGAGAGAGGAGGGAAAAGAGCAGCUUUAGGAGACCAAAAUUCACAUAAACUUGGCAGUGAAUGAAGUAGAUUUAAGUAUUGGGCAUAAGUAAUAUAUAUAUAAUAAUAAGUAUAUAUAACAGGAAGAAAUGAAGGUCAGGAAUUGUCUGCAAGAUGCUCCCAUACCCGACUCACCUCUCUCAACCAGGGAAGGAGGCAGCAGGUGCUGUGCUAAGUGGUUGUACUUACAAAGAGGAAUAAAAGAAUGCAGCUGUCCACUUUGCUCUUAUAUAUUAGCUGUGUUAGUUUUUUAAAAAAAUACUUGAAAUUUAUUUUAAAACAUACUCUACAACAUACAAGAAAUUAUUAAAGAUGCAAAAAAAAAA